GAGGGAGCCGUGUCCGCAGCCGCAGCAAUUCCCGCUCCAGGGGUGGGGACGAGG
RNAcentral lists this ribosomal RNA (54 nucleotides) under Chlorarachnion reptans. RNAcentral describes it as "partial Microsporidia small subunit ribosomal RNA". Lineage: Eukaryota; Cercozoa; Chlorarachniophyceae. The record is from RNAcentral.